Manihot esculenta (cassava) is the source of this 3373-nucleotide long non-coding RNA. RefSeq lists it as uncharacterized. NCBI's taxonomy places the organism in Eukaryota, Viridiplantae, Streptophyta, Magnoliopsida, Malpighiales, Euphorbiaceae. The record is from RefSeq and is a predicted model, not a curated record. The transcript is spliced from 2 exons.
UAUUAAACGACGAUUCCGCUAAAGUUGGCUGAGAUAUUUUCUCCUCUCUCUAAAAAAACACGCGACACGUUCCUCGUUUUUCUAUGCCUCUGGGUUUCUCCUUCCCUUCCUUUUCUUCUACUUCUCCUCCAAUCAGCAGGUUUGCUUGGUCAAUGGUUUUUCUUGUUUUCUCUGAUGUCUGUGAGAGUUUAGAGGAAGACGGUUCAGGUUAUGGACCUUGCGGUGGGUUUUCUCUGGACUUCCAGGUGGAGAUGUGCAUAUAUCUUCGUGUUUUGUUUCUUGUUGAUUGUACUGAGUUUUUCAGUUCGAUGAUUAUAUAUUGUUUGUUUGUUAUGUGUUCUGGGAUUUUUUGUGCCUGUACCUGCAUUAACUAUACUCUGCGUCAAAUGAAAUUAGGUUAUGAUCAUAGAGGAGAAAUUGUAGAAUUCAUUUGAACUCAUAUUCUUAUUAUCAGUUUGUUUAUGGGAAGGCACACACUUGGUUGUAGCUCAUUAAAAGCAACCAAAGCUGAAGACAAGACUAACCACCAAAAAGGAAGCUAAAUGAUCCUCAUAUAUCUUGAACUUGGAUCAAAUUUUCAAUUUUAUCCAGUGCUUAAUUAAUUUAUAUCAAUUGCAUAUGGGUAAAAAUGAUGUCAAAUGGCGUGUUUAUAUUAACCAGUUGUUGAAUUGGCAUGCUAUAAUGGCUGGGUUAUCUCGUUAUGGUUUCACCACACAUUGACUAAGGCACAACUGUAACUUUCUGACCACUUGAAUUCUCUCUCUGUGAAUCUGUUGAAAUGUGGACAACUUUGGAUAGUCUUCAUGACAAUACUUUAAACCCUAUUUAGCAUGUUCAUCCAUAUUAGCAUACUAGUUCAAAGCUAAUAUUAGACUGGCAAUGAUACAUGCCAUAUGAUAUGAAAUAGUCCUGGAUGGAAUUUCUACAAACCAUCUUUUUGUGACAUGAGGAGUUCUAUUCCUACUUAUAUUUGUAGAAUUGGUUUUAUUUUAUUUUAUUUUUUCAUUUCUUACUAGUUUACUUUUGUUUCCUUAGUUUGUAGGCAUUCCUUAGGUAUUUUGUAUUUUCUGUCCAAGUUCAACUAUGGUUUCUAGGCCUUAUAGAUAUCAUCUUAUGUAUUAUGUAGAAGUGAGGUAGUCCAUUAUUAAUAAAAUUAAGAUCUUUCUAGGUUUCUUCUAGAUUCAAGGAUCUUAGUGCAUAGGCACAAUCUAGCCUUAUUUACAUAGUCCUGUCUUGCUCAAUUGGUAUUAGAUCAAAGUUUUGCUCGGCUUUUUAGUGACAUAUUGUGGGGUUCAAAGAAAAUUCUUCAUGGGGGUAGAUCUUAAGUGGAGAUUCUUUGUAAACUUUCUUGGAAUCAUGAAUAUGGUAACAUGGAAUCGGAGACUUUAUUCAUAGUUAAUCUAUUCGUAGAUACAUCUCUAGUUUUAGAAAUUGCAUAUCUUGAUGAUGACUUUUAUAGAAAUAUUUGAUCUUCAAAUUCUUGUUAGUUCUUUUUUUUAAAAAAAAAAACAAAAUUCAUAAGAUUUAUAGAGAUGACAACUACAGCAGUAGCAACAAAGGCUUAAACCCUAGAUAGAUGCGUCAACAAUGAAAUAAAUUUUAGUGAAUGAAUUUUAUUAUAUUAUUACAAGUAUAUGUAUAUACAAACACACAUAUAUGUUUGCUUUAAGUAAUAACCAAAGAAAUAUUACGAGGGGUUUAUUAAAAACUUAAGACUUGUGUUAAAAAAUCUACCUUAAGUUUUGAGGCAAUUUGCAGUGUGAAGAUAAUGGGUUAGAAGCCUUGUCAGUUGUCACAGGUCAAUUAAGACCAUGAAUGUGAAGCACUUUGAACUAAAACAAAUGGAAACAACUCAAGGAAGGACUAAUAGAGCAUAGAUAAAAAACAUAACAACCCUCCACGUAUCCAGGGUGUGUCCAAAGAGCCCAAAACACACUCCAACAUAUGUCCAAGGCUAGCCUGGGAGUUUCAAGCAACCUCAGUCUUGCAUCUGGCACACCCUAGGGCAUGCUUUAGAAAGUACUACAUGCCCUAGGGUGUGCUUGUCUCGGUUCAACUACAGAAGUUAGGUCUAACAUCCCAAAACAUGUGGAUUGCAUCUCCAAGUGGGUCCCCAACAAUCCUAACAUGAUCUGAUCUAUUUUGAAAAAGUUUCUACUACUUUUAGAGUUUUAUCCUCCAAAUUAGAUUUUAUUCUUUUUUAUUCAAUUAGGAUUAGUUAUUUAAGUUUCCUGUUUCAGAUCUUUCUAUUUGUAUGUUAGUUUCACUAAAGUUCCUAAAUAAUAGUGUUAUAUUCCCAAAAAGUUUAGAGAUUAUAACUCUGUUUAGAAUUUUAGUAUUUUAUUGCUUAAAAUUCCAGUAAAGAGGUUCUCUCAAUUUUCACUCUUAUGUAUGAGUGUGUUAUUCUUGUAAGCUUUAGCUGCGUAGGUGGUAUGGGAGCGGGUAAAAGCACCCCAAUCUAGAUGGCUAACCUUGAUGAAGAUGAUAGCAAUGGUUCCUGUGAUGGUAAUCAGAAAACAAGAGCCGUAAACCAAAGGGAUGAAACAUUGCAACGAUUACAUUGAUGUUUAGAACAAUAGAUGGAUCUUAGAUUCGAGCAUAUUAAGAGAUGCUUUGAAGAAAGCAUUGCUUGUCCCAUUGCUUUGGGAACUAAUACGAGCAAGAAUUAGAUUGAUAAUAAAAGACCAAGGGAUGGUGCAACUCGUGGUGACCCUAUUAAUUGGCCAAAUCCUGCAAGUAGAUAAUUGGCCAAAUCUUGCAAGUAGACACUUUGUCUACAAUGAGGAAAAUUGAUAUUCCUUGAUUGUAUGAGGAUAUCAACACAGAAGAAUCCUUAGAGUGGAUAGUGCAAUUGGAUGAAUUCUUGGAUCAUGUGCAUAUAGUAUAUGAAACAAAUUAAAUUGGUGGCAUGUCAUCUAAAGGAUAGUGCUUCUGUGUGGCGGGAGCAACUACAGUUGAGAAGAGCAAGAGAAGGAAAAGUUAUCUCCACAGAUGAUAUUAAAAUUGCGAAUCAGCUAGGAGGUAUCUUUAUGAAAGCUUUGAAUGGAUCUCAGGUUGACUAUAUCUGUAACAAGCUAGCAUGAUAAAUAUAUAUAUUCCAACUUUUGGGUGAAUGUUAAGGAAAGUCAACUUGUGUAAAUAUUCUCAAUUAAUAGUUAGCAUAGAUUUAGGGAUUUUAUAUUCUUAUUAGCAAGGACUAUGUGUGUAUAUUUGUAUCAAUUGCUCUUGAGUCUUGAAUCAACAAAGAAAAUUAUUUACAACAUUCAAUUUUCUUGCCUAAUCAUAUGGAAGUCCACUUGGAACUGGGGAAUGUGGUUGGAGUUGGACAUUGUAUUUUGAUAAAUAUCUCAAUAUCUUUGUAAAUGGUUGCUUA